AGAAACAGGCAGCCUGACUAGAGAACAAACUACCAAUUAACGAGCGAGGAAACAGGGCCAGAGAAUUGGAACAAAAUACAAGGCUGCCUCUGAAAGGAAUAUCUUUGUGCUGAUGUGUCCAUCAAGAGAACAUACACAGAAGUGACACUUGCCAGUAAUUUGCAAGCAGAUGGAACUUCAAUAUGGCAAUAGAGAAAGAAUCAAUUAGACCAGAGUCUCCUCAGGAAGACUUUCUAUAGGUGGACGGUCCCCUGGAGAGCCCGCUGUGUUGGAAGAUGUAGAAUAUUCAUAUAUCUGGUGAGCAUCUGCUAGAUGCCAGGGUUGGGGAGAGUCAAGUUGAAGCAAGCAUGAACCCUCAAGGACCUACCAUUUCAAGGCAAGAAAUAGAUACAAAUACAGUUGAGAGCCAUCUGUGAAGUUAAUUUCAGCACUGUUUACUCUUUCCUCCUAAAUCACUAAUGAAGAUGAAACAUUCAAUGGAAUUGAGCUUUGCACCCCUUUCUGGGAAAUUCCACCGAGGCUUGCUCUUGUUUCAGUUUUCAAGCAGCAAAAGCAGUUUGUGGCAAUUUGCAAGACUCUGGCAAACCACCUGCACCUUUCAAACUAAAGAUUUUGAACUGUUUGGUCUCCUUCGUAAUUAUCUCUCCAAUUAAAGAGCAACCAAGGGACAACUGAACUGGAGGUUCUGCAGAAUUACAACUAAGCACGCAGCCGAGGAAUCUACUCAGCUUUGAUCUCUUAUCGCUCUGCACACACAGCCCUUUCUCUGUAAGGCUAGCUGCUCUCAGCAUCACUGUGUCUAAUCAAACGUGUCACACCUCCACUGAGAAAAUAUUUACUGGAUAGCUACUAGACAUAAGGAUGCAGAAAUGAAUUAGAAAAAUUCCUCGCCCUUGUUCAAAGCUAUGCUGGCUCUUAGAACAUCUGAGCCCCCACUGUUUCAUCUUUAGAGGAUCCCAGCUGCUGGGGUGUGAGGCCAGUGCUGGAGCCAGCAGUCUCUGACCCAGAAGGGACCUGAGGUGCUAAAGAAAAGGGUACAAGCUGGAAAAGGGGAAAAUGAAUCAUGCUACAGGCCAAGUGUCCAUCACUGAUUCCCAGAGAUGCCCUUUGUGUGGUAGGCACUUCCAUGUGGACUCGCUACAGAGGUCAUAAGACCCUAAUUCCAGAGGGCCCUACCCUAUAACCAGAAGGAAGAACUAUUGCACAGAGAAUCUAAGAAGAAUCUAGACAGACAGCCCUUGCUGGAUUUCUCCACUCUGUUAGCAUUCGAUCAUUUGCCUUUUGUCCAGUCAUAUUUCUGCAUGGCUGUCCAUACUUUGUUGAACCUAAGCACAAAAUGGAAAGUUUUCCCUGUAUCUUUGGGUCGUCAUUCUGAAGGCUCCCAUGUUAUGUAAAACUAUGAUCAAAUAAAUAUGCAUGCCUUUUCUCCUAUAA
RNAcentral lists this long non-coding RNA (1434 nucleotides) under Homo sapiens (human). Its description in RNAcentral is "long independently transcribed non-coding RNA 1643, transcript variant 16 (LINC01643)". The record is from RNAcentral. Lineage: Eukaryota; Metazoa; Chordata; Mammalia; Primates; Hominidae.